CAGCCAUCAUAUGAAGUAAAAUUUAAGAACAUCUUAAGCCUGGGCUGUUCAAAUUAAACUGAAGACAUGACUUUGUCCUUGAUGGAUGUACCAAAGCAAGUCUUUGAAACUUUUGGACUGAAAUAAGUAGCAGGUACUUGCUAGAACUUUAAGAACAAGUGACCAGGGUGCUGAGCAAGUAGGUGCUAGCCUACUGGGACAUGUCUUAGGCUGUGCAUGCAUCAGUACUUCAGGUGUCUUCUUCAUGACUCAAAACACCGCAAACUUCAGUGCACCUUAAACUACCCUUUGGGCAUGGUGACACACAAUGUUCUGGGCCACCUGGAAACAGAAGCAUUACAAAGCAUCAGCAACCAUCUAUUACAUCUGACAUCAGUGAACUGCAACAAGAAAAGAGCUUAAACUACAGUAUGUGAUGUUUUAAAUAUGGUCCCUGAGCCAAGUUGUUUCCUCCCUAGAACAUGCGUUAGACAUCAGCUCUCGCCCGUCAUUUGCUGGGAUUGAUAAUGUGCCAAGUCUUGAAGUCUUGACUCAGUUCUUACUCCGACAGGACUCCCAUGGAAAUCAAUGGAAGUUUUGCCUGAUAAAAUGCUUCUGGAUUCCUCUCCAAAACAUUUGGCUGUUUUUUUGCAGGCACAUUUGCAAAAAUCCAACAUUUCAGCCCUGUAAAGUAGGAUUAUCAAAAUCUUAACUGAUGGAGGACGUUCCGAGGGCAAAAUACCCGGGGGCCUGCUGCUGGCAGUGGAACACUGCCUAUGUUUGAAAACCAAACCAAAACAAACCCAAGGGCUACAAGACAAUACAUCAUCUAAAAAGCUGCUAGUAGAACAGCAGUUAAACUUAUCUGACAGUAUCCACAUAUGGACAGCAUGAAAUGACAGUGCCUUGUUAUACCGUAAGGUGAUCGAUCAAUGACUUGUGUUAUUCGGAGUCGUUUUGAAACUGAACAAAAGGCUAUGAGACAAGAUUUUUAUUUAUUUAUUUAUUUAUUUUACUUUUGUCCUGCAUGUGGAAAUUAGAAAAACUAAUGUGCAAUUGGUUCAUACAGAAAGAUGUACUGUAGCUUAGCAAGCAUUGCAUUGCAAUCAAUUUCAACAAAUACCACAAAAACACUUCAGGAUGAACAUAAUCACCAGAAAUAAA
Molecule: long non-coding RNA, 1143 nt
Filed under: Anser brachyrhynchus (Pink-footed goose)
Lineage: Eukaryota; Metazoa; Chordata; Aves; Anseriformes; Anatidae
Description: lncRNA (ENSABRG00000003323.1)
Source: RNAcentral